Molecule: ribosomal RNA, 624 nt
Filed under: uncultured bacterium
Lineage: Bacteria
Description: bacterial SSU rRNA
Rfam family: Bacterial small subunit ribosomal RNA
Source: RNAcentral
CUUCCGUACACUCAGGGAUAGCCUUUCGAAAGAAAGAUUAAUACCUGAUGGUAUGAUGAGAUUGCAUGAUAGCAUCAUUAAAGAUUUAUCGGUGUACGAUGGGGAUGCGUUCCAUUAGGUAGUAGGCGGGGUAACGGCCCACCUAGCCAACGAUGGAUAGGGGUUCUGAGAGGAAGGUCCCCCACAUUGGAACUGAGACACGGUCCAAACUCCUACGGGAGGCAGCAGUGAGGAAUAUUGGUCAAUGGACGAGAGUCUGAACCAGCCAAGUAGCGUGAAGGAUGAAGGUCCUACGGAUUGUAAACUUCUUUUAUAAGGGAAUAAACCCUCCCACGUGUGGGAGCUUGUAUGUACCUUAUGAAUAAGCAUCGGCUAACUCCGUGCCAGCAGCCGCGGUAAUACGGAGGAUGCGAGCGUUAUCCGGAUUUAUUGGGUUUAAAGGGAGCGCAGACGGGUCGUUAAGUCAGCUGUGAAAGUUUGGGGCUCAACCUUAAAAUUGCAGUUGAUACUGGCGUCCUUGAGUGCGGUUGAGGUGUGCGGAAUUCGUGGUGUAGCGGUGAAAUGCUUAGAUAUCACGAAGAACUCCGAUUGCGAAGGCAGCACACUAAUCCGUAACUGACGUUC